CGGGGUGUAGCUCAGGUGGAAGAGCGCUGGCUUUGGGAGCCAGAGGUCGCAGGUUCAAGUCCUGUCGCCCCGA
This 73-nucleotide transfer RNA is filed under the name Thermocrinis sp. RNAcentral describes it as "tRNA-Pro". It matches the Rfam family "tRNA". From Rfam's summary of the family: Transfer RNA (tRNA) molecules are approximately 80 nucleotides in length. Lineage: Bacteria; Pseudomonadati; Aquificota; Aquificia; Aquificales; Aquificaceae. The record is from RNAcentral.